UACGGAGGAUCCGAGCGUUAUCCGGAUUUAUUGGGUUUAAAGGGUGCGUAGGCGGCAUAUUAAGUCAGUGGUGAAAGGUAACCGCUCAACGGGGACACUGCCAUUGAUACUGAUAAGCUUGAGUACAGAUGAAGUGGGCGGAAUGUGUCAAGUAGCGGUGAAAUGCAUAGAUAUGACACAGAACACCGAUUGCGAAGGCAGCUCACUAAAGUGUAACUGACGCUGAGGCACGAAAGCGUGGGGAUCGAACAG
RNAcentral lists this ribosomal RNA (252 nucleotides) under uncultured bacterium. RNAcentral describes it as "partial 16S ribosomal RNA". It matches the Rfam family "Bacterial small subunit ribosomal RNA", at positions 524 to 775 of the family's 1533-position model. The record is from RNAcentral.